AUCGUUCAUCUCUAUUCAAGCAGAGACGGAAGUAGGGAAAGUUCCCGAAGGAACGCGCC
Cyanothece sp. is the source of this 59-nucleotide non-coding RNA. The record is from Rfam. NCBI's taxonomy places the organism in Bacteria, Bacillati, Cyanobacteriota, Cyanophyceae, Gomontiellales, Cyanothecaceae.